GACGAACGCUGGCGGCGUGCCUAAUACAUGCAAGUAGAACGCUGAAGGAGGAGCUUGCUCUUCUGGAUGAGUUGCGAACGGGUGAGUAACGCGUAGGUAACCUGCCUGGUAGCGGGGGAUAACUAUUGGAAACGAUAGAUAAUACCGCAUAAGAGAAGAUGUUGCAUGACAUUUACUAAAAAGGUGCAAUUGCAUCACUACCAGAUGGUCCUGCGUUGUAUUAGCUAGUUGGUGGGGUAACGGCUUACCAAGGCGACGAUACAUAGCCGACCCGAGAGGGUGGUCGGCCACCCUUGGACUGGGACACGGCCCAGACUCCUUCGGGAGGCAGCCGUAGGGAAUCUUCGGCCAUGGACGGAAGUCUGACCGGGCAACGCCGCGUUAGUGAAGAAGGUUUUCGGAUCGUAAAGCUCUGUUGUAAGGGAAGAACGAGUGUGGGAGGUGAAAGUUCACACUGUGACGGUAUCUUACCAGAAAGGGACGGCUAACUACGUG
Molecule: ribosomal RNA, 495 nt
Filed under: uncultured bacterium
Lineage: Bacteria
Description: partial 16S ribosomal RNA
Rfam family: Bacterial small subunit ribosomal RNA
Source: RNAcentral